AGCGAACGCUGGCGGCAGGCCUAACACAUGCAAGUCGAACGGAUCCUUCGGGAUUAGUGGCGGACGGGUGAGUAACACGUGGGAACGUGCCCUUUGGUUCGGAACAACUCAGGGAAACUUGAGCUAAUACCGGAUGUGCCCUUCGGGGGAAAGAUUUAUCGCCAUUGGAGCGGCCCGCGUCUGAUUAGCUAGUUGGUGAGGUAACGGCCCACCAAGGCGACGAUCAGUAGCUGGUCUGAGAGGAUGAUCAGCCACACUGGGACUGAGGCACGGCCCAGACUCCUACGGGAGGCAGCAGUGGGGAAUCUUGCGCAAUGGGCGAAAGCCUGACGCAGCCAUGCCGCGUGAAUGAUGAAGGUCUUAGGAUUGUAAAAUUCUUUCAGCGGGGACGAUAAUGACGGUACCCGCAGAAGAAGCUCCGGCCAACUUCGUG
RNAcentral lists this ribosomal RNA (433 nucleotides) under uncultured bacterium. Its description in RNAcentral is "partial 16S ribosomal RNA". It matches the Rfam family "Bacterial small subunit ribosomal RNA", at positions 29 to 507 of the family's 1533-position model. The record is from RNAcentral.